RNAcentral lists this ribosomal RNA (384 nucleotides) under uncultured bacterium. Its description in RNAcentral is "bacterial SSU rRNA". It matches the Rfam family "Archaeal small subunit ribosomal RNA", at positions 339 to 727 of the family's 1478-position model. The record is from RNAcentral.
GCGCGAAAACUUUACAAUGCGAGAAAUCGUGAUAAGGGAACCCCGAGUGCCCGUAAAUUCGGGCUGUUAAUCUGUUUAAAAAGCAGGUGGAGAAAGGGCCGGGCAAGACCGGUGCCAGCCGCCGCGGUAAUACCGGCGGCUCGAGUGGUGGCCACUAUUACUGGGCUUAAAGCGUCCGUAGCUGGAUUGUUAAGUCUCUUGGGAAAUCUACCGGCUUAACCGAUAGGCGUUCAAGAGAUACUGGCAAUCUAGGGACCGGAAGAGGUGAGAGGUACUCCAGGGGUAGGAGUGAAAUCCUGUAAUCCUUGGGGGACCACCUGUGGCGAAGGCGUCUCACCAGAACGGCUCCGACAGUGAGGGACGAAAGCUGGGGGAGCAAACCGG